CGAAGCGCGUGCGCCACGCAUCCACCGGCGACAAUGACUUCUGACCGCAUCUUCGUCUACCUGCAGCUUCCUGGGUCGCUGGAGGUGGUGACCGCCGCCUAUUACCGGCUUGAGCCUGGCGACGGCGUACCGAAGGGCACCUUCGGCUACGGUCGCAGCUACCUGGCACGCGCCGACGCGGUCCCGCUCGAGCCCUUUGAGCUGCCCCUGGACGCCCGGAAAUUCACGACGGUGAAGCUCAAGGGCAUCUUUGGUGCGCUGCGCGACGCGCUCCCCGAUGCUUGGGGUCGGCGCGUCAUCGAGCGCGAGCUCGGUCAGGCGGGCCUCGACGAAGCUGACUUGCUGCUGCACUCGCCGGAUGACCGGUCGGGUGCGCUGUCGUUCGGUUUGGGGAAAAAGCCGCCGGGGCCUUUCCGCGGCUACAACAAACUGAUCCAACUCGGUGCCCUGCUCGCACUCGCUGAGCGCGUGAUGAACGACGAGCCGGCUGCCGCGGAGGAUCCGGAUCUUGCGCAGGUGGAACGCCUACUGCGGCCAGGCACAUCGGUCGGCGGCGCGCGGCCGAAGAACGUCGUCGAGGAUGGGGAUGGGCUCUGGAUUG
Molecule: unclassified non-coding RNA, 601 nt
Filed under: uncultured fungus
Lineage: Eukaryota; Fungi
Description: sequence contains 18S rRNA gene, ITS1, 5.8S rRNA gene, ITS2, 28S rRNA gene
Source: RNAcentral